Molecule: ribosomal RNA, 492 nt
Filed under: uncultured bacterium
Lineage: Bacteria
Description: partial 16S ribosomal RNA
Rfam family: Bacterial small subunit ribosomal RNA
Source: RNAcentral
AGUGAACGCUGGCGGUAGGCCUAACACAUGCAAGUCGAACGGCAGCACAGUAAGAGCUUGCUCUUACGGGUGGCGAGUGGCGGACGGGUGAGGAAUACAUCGGAAUCUACCUUUUCGUGGGGGAUAACGUAGGGAAACUUACGCUAAUACCGCAUACGACCUACGGGUGAAAGCAGUGGAUCUUCGGACCUUGCGCGAUUGAAUGAGCCGAUGUCGGAUUAGCUAGUUGGCGGGGUAAAGGCCCACCAAGGCGACGAUCCGUAGCUGGUCUGAGAGGAUGAUCGGCCACACUGGAACUGAGACACGGUCCAGACUCCUACGGGAGGCAGCAGUGGGGAAUAUUGGACAAUGGGCGCAAGCCUGAUCCAGCCAUACCGCGUGGGUGAAGAAGGCCUUCGGGUUGUAAAGCCCUUUUGUUGGGAAAGAAAAGCAGCAGGUUAAUACCCCGCUGUUCUGACGGUACCCAAAGAAUAAGCACCGGCUAACUUCGUG